Molecule: long non-coding RNA, 2706 nt
Organism: Drosophila willistoni
Lineage: Eukaryota; Metazoa; Arthropoda; Insecta; Diptera; Drosophilidae
Exons: 6
Source: RefSeq, a predicted model, not a curated record
UGUGAAAUCAGUCGACAUAAACUGUAUUAAAAAUAAAUAUUAUAAUAAAUUUUCCCAAAAUUCUUGCUGCAAUUAAAAUGGCUAUCACAGAGAACGGCCCAGUGGGCUUGGUCCAAUAUUUAAAUGCAAUGAUAGACGUGAAGUAUGGUUAUCAAAAGUUUAAGGUGAUAGCUGCUGCUGCUUAUAGUGCUGAUGAUGCCAUUGUCCUGGAUUCCUAUGGUGGCGAAGUAACCGAUGAAGAAAUCAAGGAACUGAAAACUUACCUCGAGCAGAUGCAUAACAUCUAUUGUUUCGUGGUCGACAAAUAACUCACAGUCAAUACGAAAAGAAGAAGAAAAUAUGGCGGGGUAUCGGAAUAGUAGUAUACAUGGAAUUUAUUUCAAUUAUCAUUUUAUUCUUCUUGGGAGAACAUACAUAUGUACACAAUUAACAUGCCAAUAGUAAAAAAAACUGAAGUUUUACUUUAAUAAAACUAACCAUCUAAAGAUCUAAAUUUGACUGGGCUAUUUCUAUAGUGUGUUUUGGAUUCUUGGUUCUCCUUGACAUCUAUAAUAAGGGGACUUCAAAUUAUAUUUCAAACUUUGUGAACGGUGGAUUAUCCUCUACAUGGAAUUUACACAACUAAACAACUUUAUUCUUUAAGUUAACUAAAAAAAAAGGACCAUAAAAAAACAGCCUAAAGAUAAGUAAACUUUACGAGGAUCUCUCUGACGGAGCUUUUCGUUUUGGUUACUCCCUGGAGGAGUAUCCUUUUUUUUUUGUUUGGUCAUGCAUAACAUCUAUUGUUACGUGGUCGACAAAUAACUCACAGUCAAUACGAAAAGAAGAAGAAAAUAUGGCGGUGUAUCGGAAUAGUAGUAUACAUGGAAUUUAUUUCAAUUAUCAUUUUAUUCUUCUUGGGAGAACAUACAUAUGUACACAAUUAACAUGCCAAUAGUAAAAAAAACUGAAGUUUUACUUUUAUAAAACUAACCAUCUAAAGAUCUAAAUUUGACUGGGCUAUUUCUAUAGUGUGUUUUGGAGAACCAAGACUCCUUGACAUCUAUAAUAAGGGGACUUCAAAUUAUAUUUCAAACUUUGUGAACGGUGGAUUAUCCUCUACAUGGAAUUUACACAACUAAACAACUUUAUUCUUUAAGUUAACUAAAAAAAAAGGACCAUAAAAAAACAGCCUAAAGAUAAGUAAACUUUACGAGGAUCUCUCUGACGGAGCUUUUCGUUUUGGUUACUCCCUGGAGGAGUAUCCUUUUUUUUUUGUUUGGUCAUGCAUAACAUCUAUUGUUACGUGGUCGACAAAUAACUCACAGUCAAUACGAAAAGAAGAAGAAAAUAUGGCGGGGUAUCGGAAUAGUAGUAUACAUGGAAUUUAUUUCAAUUAUCAUUUUAUUCUUCUUGGGAGAACAUACAUAUGUACACAAUUAACAUGCCAAUAGUAAAAAAAACUGAAGUUUUACUUUUAUAAAACUAACCAUCUAAAGAUCUAAAUUUGACUGGGCUAUUUCUAUAGUGUGUUUUGGAGAACCAAGACUCCUUGACAUCUAUAAUAAGGGGACUUCAAAUUAUAUUUCAAACUUUGUGAACGGUGGAUUAUCCUCUACAUGGAAUUUACACAACUAAACAACUUUAUUCUUUAAGUUAACUAAAAAAAAAGGACCAUAAAAAAACAGCCUAAAGAUAAGUAAACUUUACGAGGAUCUCUCUGACGGAGCUUUUCGUUUUGGUUACUCCCUGGAGGAGUAUCCUUUUUUUUUUGUUUGGUCAUGCAUAACAUCUAUUGUUACGUGGUCGACAAAUAACUCACAGUCAAUACGAAAAGAAGAAGAAAAUAUGGCGGGGUAUCGGAAUAGUAGUAUACAUGGAAUUUAUUUCAAUUAUCAUUUUAUUCUUCUUGGGAGAACAUACAUAUGUACACAAUUAACAUGCCAAUAGUAAAAAAAACUGAAGUUUUACUUUUAUAAAACUAACCAUCUAAAGAUCUAAAUUUGACUGGGCUAUUUCUAUAGUGUGUUUUGGAUUCUUGGUUUUCCUUGACUUCUAUAAUAAGGGGACUUCAAAUUAUAUUUCAAACUUUGUAAACGGUGGAUUAUCCUCUACAUGGAAUUUACACAACUAAACAACUUUAUUCUUUAAGUUAACUAAAAAAAAAGGACCAUAAAAAAACAGCCUAAAGAUAAGUAAACUUUACGAGGAUCUCUCUGACGGAGCUUUUCGUUUUGGUUACUCCCUGGAGGAGUAUCCUUUUUUUUUGUUUGGUCAUGCAUAACAUCUAUUGUUACGUGGUCGUGGUCGACAAAUAACUCACAGUCAAUACGAAGAGAAGAAGAAAAUAUGGCGGGGUAUCGGAAUAGUAGUAUACAUGGAAUUUAUUUCAAUUAUCAUUUUAUUCUUCUUGGGAGAACAUACAUAUGUACACAAUUAACAUGCCAAUAGUAAAAAAAACUGAAGUUUUACUUUAAUAAAACUAAUCGUGUGUUGUCUUAAAAUUCGUUUGGACGUUUUGCCGCAAAGCCAUCUAAAGAUCUAAAUUUGACUGGGCUAUUUCUAUAGUGUGUUUUGGAUUCUUGGUUUUCCUUGACUUCUAUAAUAAGGGGACUUCAAAUUAUAUUUCAAACUUUGUAAACGGUGGAUUAUCCUCUACAUGGAAUUUACACAACUAAACAACUUUAUUCUUUAAGUUAACUAAAAAAUAAAGGACCAUAAAAAACA